CGGGAAUCUUCCGCAAUGGACGAAAGUCUGACGGAGCAACGCCGCGUGAGUGAAGAAGGUUUUCGGAUCGUAAAACUCUGUUGUCAGAGAAGAACAAGUUGGAGAGUAACUGCUCCAGCCUUGACGGUAUCUGACCAGAAAGCCACGGCUAACUACGUGCCUGCAGCCGCGGUAAUACGUAGGUGGCAAGCGUUGUCCGGAUUUAUUGGGCGUAAAGCGAGCGCAGGCGGUUCCUUAAGUCUGAUGUGAAAGCCCACGGCUCAACCGUGGAAGGUCAUUGGAAACUGGGGAACUUGAGUGCAGAAGAGGAGAGUGGAAUUCCAUGUGUAGCGGUGAAAUGCGUAGAUAUAUGGAGGAACACCAGUGGCGAAGGCGACUCUCUGGUCUGUAACUGACGCUGAGGCUCGAAAGCGUGGGGAGCAAAC
Molecule: ribosomal RNA, 425 nt
Filed under: uncultured bacterium
Lineage: Bacteria
Description: bacterial SSU rRNA
Rfam family: Bacterial small subunit ribosomal RNA
Source: RNAcentral